Molecule: ribosomal RNA, 497 nt
Filed under: uncultured bacterium
Lineage: Bacteria
Description: partial 16S ribosomal RNA
Rfam family: Bacterial small subunit ribosomal RNA
Source: RNAcentral
GAUGAACGCUGGCGGCGUGCCCAAUACAUGCAAGUCGAGCGAACAGAUAAGGAGCUUGCUCCUUUGACGUUAGCGGCGGACGGGUGAGUAACACGUGGGUAACCUACCUAUAAGACUGGGAUAACUUCGGGAAACCGGAGCUAAUACCGGAUAAUAUUUCGAACCGCAUGGUUCGAUAGUGAAAGAUGGUUUUGCUAUCACUUAUAGAUGGACCCGCGCCGUAUUAGCUAGUUGGUAAGGUAACGGCUUACCAAGGCGACGAUACGUAGCCGACCUGAGAGGGUGAUCGGCCACACUGGAACUGAGACACGGUCCAGACUCCUACGGGAGGCAGCAGUAGGGAAUCUUCCGCAAUGGGCGAAAGCCUGACGGAGCAACGCCGCGUGAGUGAUGAAGGUCUUCGGAUCGUAAAACUCUGUUAUUAGGGAAGAACAUACGUGUAAGUAACUGUGCACGUCUUGACGGUACCUAAUCAGAAAGCCACGGCUAACUACGUG